CCUUGCUGCCCCUUUCCUGAGUCCUGGGUUUGCAACAAUAUUCUGGACUGCGGAACAAUGAUGUCUACUGAGCAGUGAGCUUGGGGAAGAUUGGGGAGAAAAAUUUGAUAUGAAAACUUGUUGGACAAAACAAUUGGUGUGUUCUGUCUCUGUUGGAGCCGUAAAAGUUACACAAGAUACAAGUGAAAUCAACUCAGCAUCACUGGAGCAGGUGCACACUCUGCUAAAGCCCCUCCCAGAACUGCAGUGCACAAGUGGGAUGUUUGACUCCAUCAAACAGUCUUUUGCAAAUUCCACCUCCACAAGGUAUGCACAGUGCUGCACCUGGCGGAGGACGAGCACUGCACUGCAGGGGGCAGCUUGCUGGGUGGCAGGAGAAGCUUCCCCAGAGCCAUGGAAGAACGUGGGAUCUAUUGACCUGGAACGGCAGCAAAAACAACAAACAAGUCCAAUGACAGUGCCCCUGGCAGUGGCUAAAAGCUGAUGUUUCAGGGGCAGGGGGGAGGACAGAAGCUUGCCAGACCCACAGCGCCGAUGGCGAUAAGGGAUGGAUUUGGGCUCCAGCUCAGAUGUUACCUUGCUGUACAGCUGCUUCUUCCAUAUGGUACAGCACGGUAUCUCACAACCUACAUCAGGUUGUGUGCCCUGCUUCUGUCUACUACAGAUGGAAGAAGCAUACAGCCGGGGAUCUGAUCACCCUCCUCUUCCUUUCAUAAAAGGAUGCAUGAAAGCAUUGAGGAAGCAGGGAACAGAUGCAAAACAGGUUAGUUAUUCUCUGGUUGAAAGAAGUAUUGGCAAGAAAGAAAGAGAGGUAAGAUCAGAUUUCCAAAGCAGAAUCCACUUCUGCAUGCCCUAAGCAAAGGAGGACAGAGUGGGUAUGCAGCAGAUAUCCUGUAGGUAUCCUCUGUAAUGGAAAAAAGUUCUCCAAAACCACAAACAAGAACCUGUCCAAAUAUCAUUCCCAGUCCUUAAGGUAGUGCACAUUAUUACACACUCUAAAACAGGGAGAGUUAGAUGCUGACCAGAUUGGCUGCUGUGGCCAAAUCUGUGGGCUGUGAAUCAGAGAUCAGGAUUGAACAUGGAUCUUUAGAUUUCCUCAGAUGCCCUCCCUUGCCCUCCUCCCCCUGCCCCCCAAACAUUUUUUUUUCUGGUUCAAAUGUGGCACAGAAUAGAGGAAAAUAACUUCCCUAUUACUAUUGCUCCGUUUCUAGUACCAAAAUGCCUGAAUGAUCCUGAACAUCCAUCCUUUCUUUUGUUACAUGCUUAUCAGUAAUGCUUCUACCAUUUGGAUCUGUGCAUAAGCUUGGACAACCUGCAAGACGAUGCUGAAAAUGAGCCCGAUUUGGUCACAACAAAGCCCAAAUACCACUUCCCUGCUGAAUAUGCACUUUAAAAAAAAAAAAAAAAAAAGGGAAAAGUUAUAUUAUCUUCUUCCAAGGCCUAGGGCAUGGCUACUAACAAGGUCUCAUGCUGAGUUGUGAUGGCUCAGGACAUGGACAAGGAGUAAUUGAAUUACUGGUUUGAAACUCCAUCUUACUAGGGAUUCCAUUAGAGAAACCACUUUCAUCUACUGGCAUUUUAAAGACAAAGCAUUGUGGGCUUGUACAAAAUAUAUAUAUAUAUAUAUAUAUACACACAAAGGUAGGUCGGGGUUACUCAUCUCUUAUUGCUCAACCAGGAACACCAAUUAGGUGAGUUUGUCCUUAGAUGACUGAAAAAAUGCAUUUUUGCCUGUGAAACCAGUUGCUAUACUUCCAUGGCAAAAAUAAAACAAGCACAGAGUGUCA
This is a long non-coding RNA of Anser cygnoides (Swan goose), 1787 nucleotides long. The record is from Ensembl. Lineage: Eukaryota; Metazoa; Chordata; Aves; Anseriformes; Anatidae.